GUACUGUCGGCAGCACAUAUGCUAAAAUUGGAACGAUACAGAAAAGAGGAUCAUGGCGCCUGCGCAAAAAUGAUGACAUGCAAAUUCGUGAGGCGUUCCAUAAAAAU
Small nuclear RNA from Hyaena hyaena (striped hyena), 107 nucleotides. The record is from RefSeq and is a predicted model, not a curated record. Lineage: Eukaryota; Metazoa; Chordata; Mammalia; Carnivora; Hyaenidae.